This 234-nucleotide ribosomal RNA is filed under the name uncultured Staphylococcus sp. RNAcentral describes it as "partial 16S ribosomal RNA". It matches the Rfam family "Bacterial small subunit ribosomal RNA", at positions 106 to 334 of the family's 1533-position model. The record is from RNAcentral. Lineage: Bacteria; Bacillati; Bacillota; Bacilli; Caryophanales; Staphylococcaceae.
GUGAGUAACACGUGGAUAACCUACCUAUAAGACUGGGAUAACUUCGGGAAACCGGAGCUAAUACCGGAUAAUAUUUUGAACCGCAUGGUUCAAAAGUGAAAGACGGUCUUGCUGUCACUUAUAGAUGGAUUCGCGCUGCAUUAGCUAGUUGGUAAGGUAACGGCUUACCAAGGCAACGAUGCAUAGCCGACCUGAGAGGGUGAUCGGCCACACUGGAACUGAGACACGGUCCAG